Molecule: ribosomal RNA, 667 nt
Filed under: uncultured bacterium
Lineage: Bacteria
Description: bacterial SSU rRNA
Rfam family: Bacterial small subunit ribosomal RNA
Source: RNAcentral
ACGGGUGAGUAACACGUGAGCAACCUACCUUACACAGGGGGAUAGCCGUUGGAAACGACGAUUAAUACCGCAUGAGACCACAAAGCCACAUGGCUUAGGGGUAAAAGAUUUAUCGGUGUAAGAUGGGCUCGCGUCUGAUUAGCUAGUUGGAAGGGUAAAGGCCUACCAAGGCAACGAUCAGUAGCCGGUCUGAGAGGAUGAACGGCCACAUUGGAACUGAGACACGGUCCAAACUCCUACGGGAGGCAGCAGUGGGGAAUAUUGCACAAUGGGGGGAACCCUGAUGCAGCGACGCCGCGUGAGCGAAGAAGGUUUUCGAAUCGUAAAGCUCUGUCCUAUGAGAAGAUAAUGACGGUAUCAUAGGAGGAAGCCCCGGCUAAAUACGUGCCAGCAGCCGCGGUAAUACGUAUGGGGCGAGCGUUGUCCGGAAUUAUUGGGCGUAAAGGGUACGUAGGCGGCCUAUUAAGUCAGGUGUGAAAGCGUGAGGCUUAACCUCAUUAAGCACUUGAAACUGGAAGGCUUGAGUGAAGGAGAGGAAAGUGGAAUUCCUAGUGUAGCGGUGAAAUGCGUAGAUAUUAGGAGGAAUACCGGUGGCGAAGGCGACUUUCUGGACUUUUACUGACGCUCAGGUACGAAAGCGUGGGGAGCAAACAGGAUUAGAUACCCU